RNAcentral lists this ribosomal RNA (497 nucleotides) under uncultured bacterium. Its description in RNAcentral is "partial 16S ribosomal RNA". It matches the Rfam family "Bacterial small subunit ribosomal RNA", at positions 28 to 507 of the family's 1533-position model. The record is from RNAcentral.
GACGAACGCUGGCGGCGUGCCUAAUACAUGCAAGUUGAGCGCUGAAGGUUGGUACUUGUACCAACUGGAUGAGCAGCGAACGGGUGAGUAACGCGUGGGGAAUCUGCCUUUGAGCGGGGGACAACAUUUGGAAACGAAUGCUAAUACCGCAUAAAAACUUUAAACACAAGUUUUAAGUUUGAAAGAUGGAAUUGCAUCACUCAAAGAUGAUCCCGCGUUGUAUUAGCUAGUUGGUGAGGUAAAGGCUCACCAAGGCGAUGAUACAUAGCCGACCUGAGAGGGUGAUCGGCCACAUUGGGACUGAGACACGGCCCAAACUCCUACGGGAGGCAGCAGUAGGGAAUCUUCGGCAAUGGACGAAAGUCUGACCGAGCAACGCCGCGUGAGUGAAGAAGGGUGUCGGAUCGUAAAACUCUGUUGGUAGAGAAGAACGUUGGUGAGAGUGGAAAGCUCAUCAAGUGACGGUAACUACCCAGAAAGGGACGGCUAACUACGUG